RNAcentral lists this ribosomal RNA (428 nucleotides) under uncultured bacterium. Its description in RNAcentral is "bacterial SSU rRNA". It matches the Rfam family "Bacterial small subunit ribosomal RNA", at positions 355 to 775 of the family's 1533-position model. The record is from RNAcentral.
UGGGGAAUCUUCCGCAAUGGACGAAAGUCUGACGGAGCAACGCCGCGUGAGUGAAGAAGGUUUUCGGAUCGUAAAGCUCUUUCGUUAGGGACGAACGUGCUCUUUGUGGAUAAUGAGGAGUAAUGACGGUACCUAAAUAAGAAGCCACGGCUAACUACGUGCCAGCAGCCGCGGUAAUACGUAGGUGGCAAGCGUUGCCCGGAAUUAUUGGGCGUAAAGCGCGCGCAGGCGGGAUAUCAAGUCUGUCUUAAAAGUGCGAGGCUCAACCUCGUGAGGGGACAGAAACUGGUAUUCUUGAGUGUCGGAGAGGAAAGUGGAAUUCCAAGUGUAGCGGUGAAAUGCGUAGAGAUUUGGAAGAACACCAGUGGCGAAGGCGACUUUCUGGACGAUGUCUGGCGCUGAGGCGCGAAAGCUAGGGGAGCGAACGG